Molecule: non-coding RNA, 63 nt
Filed under: Nocardia farcinica
Lineage: Bacteria; Bacillati; Actinomycetota; Actinomycetes; Mycobacteriales; Nocardiaceae
Source: RNAcentral
GGGAAUCCGGUGAGAAUCCGGAACGGUCGCGCCACUGUGAUCGCCUUCGGCGAGAGUCAGACC